RNAcentral lists this ribosomal RNA (434 nucleotides) under uncultured bacterium. RNAcentral's name for it is "bacterial SSU rRNA". It matches the Rfam family "Bacterial small subunit ribosomal RNA", at positions 28 to 477 of the family's 1533-position model. The record is from RNAcentral.
GACGAACGCUGGCGGCGUGCUUAACACAUGCAAGUCGAGCGAUGAAGUUUCCUUCGGGAAAUGGAUUAGCGGCGGACGGGUGAGUAACACGUGGGUAACCUGCCUCAUAGAGGGGAAUAGCCUUUCGAAAGGAAGAUUAAUACCGCAUACGAUUGUAAUGUCGCAUGACAUAGCAAUUAAAGGAGCAAUCCGCUAUGAGAUGGACCCGCGUCGCAUUAGCUAGUUGGUGAGGUAACGGCUCACCAAGGCGACGAUGCGUAGCCGACCUGAGAGGGUGAUCGGCCACAUUGGGACUGAGACACGGCCCAGACUCCUACGGGAGGCAGCAGUGGGGAAUAUUGCACAAUGGGGGAAACCCUGAUGCAGCAACGCCGCGUGAGUGAUGACGGUCUUCGGAUUGUAAAGCUCUGUCUUUAGGGACGAUAAUGACGGUA